RNAcentral lists this ribosomal RNA (587 nucleotides) under Trichoderma virens. RNAcentral's name for it is "eukaryotic LSU rRNA". The stretch from base 200 to 353 matches the Rfam family "5.8S ribosomal RNA". Lineage: Eukaryota; Fungi; Ascomycota; Sordariomycetes; Hypocreales; Hypocreaceae. The record is from RNAcentral.
GAUCCGACUACGCUCCCAACCCAAUGUGAACGUUACCAAACUGUUGCCUCGGCGGGAUCUCUGCCCCGGGUGCGUCGCAGCCCCGGACCAAGGCGCCCGCCGGAGGACCAACCAAAACUCUUAUUGUAUACCCCCUCGCGGGUUUUUUACUAUCUGAGCCAUCUCGGCGCCCCUCGUGGGCGUUUCGAAAAUGAAUCAAAACUUUCAACAACGGAUCUCUUGGUUCUGGCAUCGAUGAAGAACGCAGCGAAAUGCGAUAAGUAAUGUGAAUUGCAGAAUUCAGUGAAUCAUCGAAUCUUUGAACGCACAUUGCGCCCGCCAGUAUUCUGGCGGGCAUGCCUGUCCGAGCGUCAUUUCAACCCUCGAACCCCUCCGGGGGGUCGGCGUUGGGGAUCGGCCCUUUACGGGGCCGGCCCCGAAAUACAGUGGCGGUCUCGCCGCAGCCUCUCCUGCGCAGUAGUUUGCACACUCGCAUCGGGAGCGCGGCGCGUCCACAGCCGUUAAACACCCCAAACUUCUGAAAUGUUGACCUCGGAUCAGGUAGGAAUACCCGCUGAACUUAAGCAUAUCUAAAGCGCGGAGAGGAA